GUCGAGGGGCAUCAGGAAGAAAGCUUGCUUUCUUUGCUGGCGACCGGCGCACGGGUGAGUAACACGUAUCCAACCUGCCCUUUACUCGGGGAUAGCCUUUCGAAAGAAAGAUUAAUACCCGAUAGCAUAAUGAUUCCGCAUGGUUUCAUUAUUAAAGGAUUCCGGUAAAGGAUGGGGAUGCGUUCCAUUAGGUUGUUGGUGAGGUAACGGCUCACCAAGCCUUCGAUGGAUAGGGGUUCUGAGAGGAAGGUCCCCCACAUUGGAACUGAGACACGGUCCAAACUCCUACGGGAGGCAGCAGUGAGGAAUAUUGGUCAAUGGGCGUUAGCCUGAACCAGCCAAGUAGCGUGAAGGAUGAAGGCUCUAUGGGUCGUAAACUUCUUUUAUAUAAGAAUAAAGUGCAGUAUGUAUACUGUUUUGUAUGUAUUAUAUGAAUAAGGAUCGGCUAACUCCGUGCCAGCAGCCGCGGUAAUACGGAGGAUCCGAGCGUUAUCCGGAUUUAUUGGGUUUAAAGGGAGCGUAGGUGGACUGGUAAGUCAGUUGUGAAAGUUUGCGGCUCAACCGUAAAAUUGCAGUUGAUACUGUCAGUCUUGAGUACAGUAGAGGUGGGCGGAAUUCGUGGUGUAGCGGUGAAAUGCUUAGAUAUCACGAAGAACUCCGAUUGCGAAGGCAGCUCACUGGACU
RNAcentral lists this ribosomal RNA (684 nucleotides) under uncultured Bacteroidales bacterium. Its description in RNAcentral is "bacterial SSU rRNA". It matches the Rfam family "Bacterial small subunit ribosomal RNA", at positions 61 to 735 of the family's 1533-position model. Lineage: Bacteria; Pseudomonadati; Bacteroidota; Bacteroidia; Bacteroidales. The record is from RNAcentral.